GCCUGACACUGACAGCUGCGGCGGCGCCCGCCGCAACGUGCCCGGGGGCGGGGCCUGGCGGGGCCACGCCCCCCCCCCGCAGCCACGCCCCCGCCGCGCCACGCCGGGCUUGGCGCGCCCGCGCUGGACCCGGUCUCGUUCCGGAUCCCGAUCCCGAUCCCGAUCCCGGUCCCGGUGCCGGUGCCGGGUUCCCAGGCGGUACCCCUGCACCGUGGGUGCGUAGGUGGGAAAAGGGCGUCCCUCGUGCUGGGCGCGUUUGUCGUCAGAGGGGGAUAUUCUCCUCCAUUUGGCUCGGGAGAGGCCCUGAUUGUGCUCCCGCACGCGACUGCUGGCACUGCACAUGAGGAAAGAUACAGGCUGGACGGAAUCCAGAGGGAAAGAAGAGGAAUGAAACACGGUCAGAGAAACGUGCGCUACCACAAGGGUUGGUUUUUGUUUUCCCGGGGUGAAAAGCAGGGGAAGAGGACACGGCAAUGGUGACCUGGUACAAAAAAAAAAAAAAGAGGUCACAAAGAGAUUGCUUUUCCUCCAAAGAGAAAGUAAUGGACUUUCUUAGCAAUCCUAAAUUCAGCCUAGAUAACUGGGGGACAAUUGAUAGUAAAGUGGGGCAGCCCAGCAUCAGGCUACCCGGGGAUACUGGAGGUUUUCAAACAGACAAGGGAGACUUCUUUUAUGGAUAAUGCAAGCUUGGUCUGUUCACUCAGGACCUUCCCAAGUCUUCACAUGGUCCUUCCAGCUCAGGCAGGAGCUGGGCUUGGCUGAAACACGGCACAUUAUUCUGCAGAACUGUAGCAUUGCUUAAAAUUUUAGCUAAAUCUGCGAUUCUGCUAUUGUGGAUCACUCCUUAGGUGCCAGCCAGCAAUGCCUAGCUUUGUGCCCGUGCAGCUGAGAGAUGUGCUCAGCGUGCCUUGGCCAUGGCGGGCAUAGCAGCACCUUGCUGGCUGGGGGACGUGCAUCCCUGAGCCUCAGCAGGAGGGGAGAGCAGCACAAAUCUCUCUCUGCUGCAGAGUUCUUUCAUUCCAGUCACAUUACUUCAUUUUCUCACCUUCAUUCAUCAACUCCAGAACCAUUAGACCCAAACCUAUGGAAAAAAGAAAAGUCUUUUGGAGCAGCAAGACAAAGCAGAAAAACGUUGCUUCCUUCAAAUUCUCUCCACACUGAGGUAUGCCGCCACCUGGAAAAAAAGGAUUACUUCUCACCCUGGGCAUUUUACAUGUGUAAUCCCUUUCACAGUCUUGUUUUCCUUACGGCAGGAGGCACAGGCUUCAACCACAAACACAUCUUCAGUCUUCUUCUGGGUUGCCUUUUAUUGUCUUCCUGUGUCGUGCUGUCUUGCAUCUUCAGCACUCCUGCUUUCCGAGCUGUGAUCCUAGGAGCAUGGAGUUCAAUGAAGAUGUGGCUGUCUCAGCUGCCUACAACACAGGCAGGACAGUGGAGUCUGGUGGCCAAAGAGAAAAUCGCAUCCGCCAUGAUCACCCCUUCCACCGGUGAGGUCUUCAGCAAGCAGCUCUGGCCUUAUAACUUCUGUUCCAUGUGCACAACAGCCCCACGCAUGUUUCUUUGUGGCUGA
This 1570-nucleotide long non-coding RNA is filed under the name Anser cygnoides (Swan goose). RNAcentral's name for it is "lncRNA (ENSACDG00005003878.1)". Lineage: Eukaryota; Metazoa; Chordata; Aves; Anseriformes; Anatidae. The record is from RNAcentral.